UACGCCCCUUUGUAGUUCUCAUAGCCUGAAAUGUACAUAAGGUCAAUUAAUCCUCACGACCACUCUGAGAGUCUGUGUAAUAUCCUUCUCUCCACACAGAGAAAGAAGCUGAGGCUGCAGGGUUCGCGGGGUCCCUGCUCCAAAUCCGCACAGCCUCGGGGUGGCACGGCUGGCACGCAGGUCUGAGUCCAGAGCCCGUGGGCAUUUUUGUUUUGUUUUGUUUUGUUUUGCCAUUGCUCUGCCUUCGUGUAUCUAAACCAGUACUUUUCAGACUCUUUUGUGAGUGAAGCCAUUUCUUCCAAGUCAAUCUCUGGAAAGCCCCAGUGAAGAAAUUCCUCCGACAUCCUCCUCGCAGGCCUGGCGGAGACAGGUAGCAGGGACCGAGCAGCUGCACACAGAACCUCGAAGUUCACCUCCAGAGGCGAAAGGGACCAAGUCAUCCUUGCUGUCUUGUUCUUCUUGGAACCCUGAGCCGCCCCGGGAACAGACCCAGCCUCCCAAGCUAGAGAAUCACCAACACAUGGCCUGCCUACCUUUGUGGUCUCAGCUGACAGCCUGUUAAUGCCAAGAAGCAGAAGCACCCAGACAGCUGGAAGCCGACUGCAGA
This is a long non-coding RNA of Phacochoerus africanus (Common warthog), 607 nucleotides long. RefSeq lists it as uncharacterized. The transcript has 3 exons. The record is from RefSeq and is a predicted model, not a curated record. NCBI's taxonomy places the organism in Eukaryota, Metazoa, Chordata, Mammalia, Artiodactyla, Suidae.